This 65-nucleotide transfer RNA is filed under the name Dipodomys ordii (Ord's kangaroo rat). It matches the Rfam family "tRNA". From Rfam's summary of the family: Transfer RNA (tRNA) molecules are approximately 80 nucleotides in length. The record is from Rfam by way of RNAcentral. Lineage: Eukaryota; Metazoa; Chordata; Mammalia; Rodentia; Heteromyidae.
GGUGGCUCAGUGGUAGAGCGCUUGCCUCGCAUGCAUGAGGCUCUGGGUUUGAUUCCUCAGCACCA